UAGGGAAUCUUCGGCAAUGGACGAAAGUCUGACCGAGCAACGCCGCGUGAGUGAAGAAGGUUUUCGGAUCGUAAAACUCUGUUGUUAGAGAAGAACAAGGACGUUAGUAACUGAACGUCCCCUGACGGUAUCUAACCAGAAAGCCACGGCUAACUACGUGCCAGCAGCCGCGGUAAUACGUAGGUGGCAAGCGUUGUCCGGAUUUAUUGGGCGUAAAGCGAGCGCAGGCGGUUUCUUAAGUCUGAUGUGAAAGACCCCGGCUCAACCGGGGAGGGUCCUUGGAAACUGGGAGAAUUGAGUGCAGGAGAGGAGAGUGGAAUUCCAUGUGUAGCGGUGAAAUGCAUAGAUAUAUGGAGGAACACCAGUGGCGAAGGCGGCUCUCUGGUCUAUAACUGACACUGAGGCUCGAGAGCGUGGGGAGCAAACAGG
This 429-nucleotide ribosomal RNA is filed under the name Gemmatimonadota bacterium. RNAcentral's name for it is "Gemmatimonadetes bacterium partial 16S ribosomal RNA". It matches the Rfam family "Bacterial small subunit ribosomal RNA", at positions 355 to 776 of the family's 1533-position model. The record is from RNAcentral. Lineage: Bacteria; Pseudomonadati; Gemmatimonadota.